CCGUGUCGGGUAAAAAAANUNGCGGGGGGUNNNNNCCUUCGCGCAUUCGCCUUGAGUUGAUAUGGCUCAGAAUCAACGCUGGCGGCGUGCCUAACACAUGCAAGUCGAACGCGAAAGCCCCGAAAGGGGCAAGUAGAGUGGCAAACGGGUGAGUAACGCGUGGGUGACCUGCCUUCGAGCGGGGGAUAACGUUCCGAAAGGGACGCUAAUACCGCAUAACAUCCUGCCCUUGAAUGGGUGGAGAUCAAAGCUGGGGAUUCGCAAGAACCCGGCACUUGAAGAGGGGCCCGCGUCUGAUUAGCUAGUUGGUGAGGUAACGGCUCACCAAGGCAACGAUCAGUAUCCGGCCUGAGAGGGCGGACGGACACACUGGGACUGAGACACGGCCCAGACUCCUACGGGAGGCAGCAGUGGGGAAUUGUUCGCAAUGGGCGCAAGCCUGACGACGCAACGCCGCGUGGAGGAUGAAGAUUUUCGGAUCGUAAACUCCUGUCGAAUGGGACGAAAAAGUUGCGGGUUAACAGCCCC
This 528-nucleotide ribosomal RNA is filed under the name uncultured bacterium. RNAcentral describes it as "bacterial SSU rRNA". It matches the Rfam family "Bacterial small subunit ribosomal RNA", at positions 1 to 470 of the family's 1533-position model. The record is from RNAcentral.